Molecule: long non-coding RNA, 488 nt
Organism: Dreissena polymorpha
Lineage: Eukaryota; Metazoa; Mollusca; Bivalvia; Myida; Dreissenidae
Exons: 3
Source: RefSeq, a predicted model, not a curated record
UAAAAUCUUGCAUGACGUCAUACUGAUGUCAUAAAUAAACAUAACUAGUGUUUUACAAACCCUGAUAUUGUUUACCAACAUGGAUGUCCUUGUCGAAGACGAAAGCAAUGAACCAUUUACAGAAGAUGAGGAUGACAAUAUCGCGAAGAUAAAGACGUUAAGGAAGCAGUACUACAGUAGUCUACUACCGUCUUCAUGAGGCGAGACAACAGUUGGAGCAUUCGCAAAAGUGCGUCGCCGGCAGACCUAUGACGUGUUUUCUGCAUCCGAGUGUGACGCCGUGCAAGUUGUACGAGCACCUGAAGAGUCGAGGUGCCGCUGACGCUGUCAUCGUGGACUGGCUCAGGCGCUUAAAAGACAUAAGGGAUCCGAAGUGAAAGAAAUAAGAUCGUUCUCGAUUUUGGUCAAUUAAUUGUAAUAUUCAUUUUUGACAUUUGUGUGUUAUCUCGAUACAGUUAAUUGUGUAUGAUAUUAAAAUGUGCAUUUAC